This 256-nucleotide ribosomal RNA is filed under the name uncultured bacterium. RNAcentral describes it as "partial 16S ribosomal RNA". It matches the Rfam family "Bacterial small subunit ribosomal RNA", at positions 524 to 777 of the family's 1533-position model. The record is from RNAcentral.
UACGUAGGGUGCGAGCGUUGUCCGGAAUUAUUGGGCGUAAAGAGCUCGUAGGCGGUUUGUCGCGUCGACUGUGAAAACCUACAGCUUAACUGUGGGCUUGCAGUCGAUACGGGCAGACUUGAGUUCGGUAGGGGAGACUGGAAUUCCUGGUGUAGCGGUGAAAUGCGCAGAGUAUCAAGGAGGAACACCGGUGGCGAAGGCGGGUCUCUGGGCCGAUACUGACGCUGAGGAGCGAAAGCGUGGGGAGCGAACAGGA